RNAcentral lists this transfer RNA (72 nucleotides) under Toxocara canis (dog roundworm). It matches the Rfam family "tRNA". From Rfam's summary of the family: Transfer RNA (tRNA) molecules are approximately 80 nucleotides in length. Their secondary structure includes four short double-helical elements and three loops (D, anti-codon, and T loops). The record is from Rfam by way of RNAcentral. Lineage: Eukaryota; Metazoa; Nematoda; Chromadorea; Rhabditida; Toxocaridae.
GCGGCAGUAGCUCAGUGGAAGAGCCCCGGCUUCGGAAGCGGGGAGACCUGGGUUCGAUUCCCGGUUGCUUCC